Molecule: long non-coding RNA, 258 nt
Filed under: Glycine max (soybean)
Lineage: Eukaryota; Viridiplantae; Streptophyta; Magnoliopsida; Fabales; Fabaceae
Description: long non-coding RNA (GMAX_LNC002865)
Source: RNAcentral
UCUUCUCUCUCAUCUCCAUUCUCUUCUUCCACUUCCACCACUUUUUUUUCCUUUUUCAUUUGUAGGUGCAGGUGCAGUUGCUGCUUUGUUUAUCUGUGUUUGACUCCUUGUGUUUUUUAAAGGUUUACCAGCCCCAAUUGCCUCAACAACAUCAAACCAAUUCAAAUCAUCAUCAUUAUCAAAAACCCAAUAACCACUCAUUGCUAUCAUCAAUAUCAUUUAAAGCAAUAGGAUCAAUCACAUCAUGACACUCAAAGC